GAUGAACGCUGGCGGCGUGCCUAAUACAUGCAAGUCGAGCGAACGGACGAGCAGCUUGCUUCUCUGAUGUUAGCGGCGGACGGGUGAGUAACACGUGGAUAACCUACCUAUAAGACUGGGAUAACUUCGGGAAACCGUAGCUAAUACCGGAUAAUAUUUUGAACCGCAUGGUUCAAAAGCGAAAGACGGUCUUGCUGUCGCUUAUAGAUGGAUCCGCGCUGCAUUAGCUAGUUGGUAAGGUAACGGCUUACCAAGGCAACGAUGCAUAGCCGACCUGAGAGGGUGAUCGGCCACACUGGAACUGAGACACGGUCCAGACUCCUACGGGAGGCAGCAGUAGGGAAUCUUCCGCAAUGGGCGAAAGCCUGACGGAGCAACGCCGCGUGAGUGAUGAAGGUCUUCGGAUCGUAAAACUCUGUUAGUAGGGAAGAACAUAUGUGUAAGUAACUGUGCACAUCUUGACGGUACCUAAUCAGAAAGCCACGGCUAACUACGUG
Molecule: ribosomal RNA, 497 nt
Filed under: uncultured bacterium
Lineage: Bacteria
Description: partial 16S ribosomal RNA
Rfam family: Bacterial small subunit ribosomal RNA
Source: RNAcentral